RNAcentral lists this ribosomal RNA (773 nucleotides) under uncultured bacterium. RNAcentral's name for it is "bacterial SSU rRNA". It matches the Rfam family "Bacterial small subunit ribosomal RNA", at positions 8 to 796 of the family's 1533-position model. The record is from RNAcentral.
AGAGUUUGAUCCUGGCUCAGGACGAACGCUGGCGGCGUGCUUAACACAUGCAAGUCGAGCGGAAGGCUCCUUCGGGGGUACUCGAGCGGCGAACGGGUGAGUAACACGUGAGUAAUCUGCCCUUCACUUGGGGAUAACCUCCGGAAACGGUGGCUAAUACCCGAUAUGACGCAGGUCCGCAUGGGCUCUGUGUGGAAAGUUUUUUCGGUGGGGGAUGUACUCGCGGCCUAUCAGCUUGUUGGUGGGGUAAUGGCCUACCAAGGCUUCGACGGGUAGCCGGCCUGAGAGGGUGACCGGCCACACUGGGACUGAGACACGGCCCAGACUCCUACGGGAGGCAGCAGUGGGGAAUAUUGGACAAUGGGCGGAAGCCUGAUCCAGCAACGCCGCGUGAGGGAUGACGGCCUUCGGGUUGUAAACCUCUUUCACCGAUGACGAAGCGCAAGUGACGGUAGUCGGAGAAGAAGCACCGGCCAACUACGUGCCAGCAGCCGCGGUAAUACGUAGGGUGCGAGCGUUGUCCGGAAUUAUUGGGCGUAAAGGGCUCGUAGGCGGUUUGUCGCGUCGGGAGUGAAAACACCGGGCUUAACUCGGUGCUUGCUUUCGAUACGGGCAGACUAGAGGUAUGCAGGGGAGAACGGAAUUCCUGGUGUAGCGGUGAAAUGCGCAGAUAUCAGGAGGAACACCGGUGGCGAAGGCGGUUCUCUGGGCAUGACCUGACGCUGAGGAGCGAAAGUGUGGGGAGCGAACAGGAUUAGAUACCCUAGUAGUCC